This 394-nucleotide ribosomal RNA is filed under the name uncultured bacterium. RNAcentral describes it as "bacterial SSU rRNA". It matches the Rfam family "Bacterial small subunit ribosomal RNA", at positions 29 to 418 of the family's 1533-position model. The record is from RNAcentral.
AUUGAACGCUGGCGGCAUGCCUAACACAUGCAAGUCGAACGGCAGCACGGCAGUAGCAAUACUGUGGGUGGCGAGUGGCGGACGGGUGAGGAAUACGUCGGAAUCUGCCCAGUCGUGGGGGAUAACUAGCCGAAAGGUUAGCUAAUACCGCAUACGACCGAGAGGUGAAAGCGGGGGACCGCAAGGCCUCGCGCGAUUGGAUGAGCCGACGUCGGAUUAGCUAGUUGGUGGGGUAAAGGCCCACCAAGGCGACGAUCCGUAGCUGGUCUGAGAGGAUGAUCAGCCACACUGGAACUGAGACACGGUCCAGACUCCUACGGGAGGCAGCAGUAGGGAAUAUUGGACAAUGGGGGCAACCCUGAUCCAGCCAUGCCGCGUGUGUGAAGAAGGCCUU